AGCUCCAAUAGCGUAUAUUAAAGUUGCUGCAGUUAAAAAGCUCGUAGUUGGAUCUCGGGUCGGGGACGGCGGUCCGCCCCUCAGGGGCCGCGACUGCCGGAGCGGCGGCCUUCGCCGGUCGCCUCCCCGUCCUACACGCCGGUUUUUCAUCUCCCCGUUUGGUGCUCUUGAUUGAGUGCCCGGGGCGGCCGGGACGUUUACUUUGAAAAAAUUAGAGUGUUCAAAGCAGGCCCUUGUCGAGCCUGAAUAAUGGUGCAUGGAAUAAUGGAAGAGGACCUCGGUUCUAUUUUGUUGGUUUUCGAGAACUGGAGGUAAUGAUUAAGAGGGACUGCCGGGGGCAUUUGUAUUGCGGCGUUAGAGGUGAAAUUCUUGGAUCGCCGCAAGACAAACUACUGCGAAA
Molecule: ribosomal RNA, 400 nt
Filed under: phytoplankton environmental sample
Lineage: Eukaryota
Description: partial small subunit ribosomal RNA
Rfam family: Eukaryotic small subunit ribosomal RNA
Source: RNAcentral